Molecule: ribosomal RNA, 209 nt
Filed under: uncultured prokaryote
Description: partial 16S ribosomal RNA
Rfam family: Bacterial small subunit ribosomal RNA
Source: RNAcentral
UACGUAGGCAGCAAGCGUUGUUCGGAAUUACUGGGCGUAAAGAGUGUGUAGGCGGUGUUCUAAGUCUGUCGUGAAAUCUCCCGGCUUAACUGGGAGGGUGCGGCGGAAACUGGAAUGCUAGAGGAUGGGAGAGGUAAGCGGAAUUCCUGGUGUAGCGGUGAAAUGCGUAGAUAUCGGGAGGAACACCAGUGGCGAAGGCGAUCACCUGG